GACGAACGCUGGCGGCGUGCCUAAUACAUGCAAGUCGAACGCAGUGGGGACGGGUGAGUAACCCGUGGGUAACCUCCCAUCAGAGGGGAUAACACUUGGAAACAGGUGCUAAACCGAUACUGAUGGAUGAACCCGCGGUGCAUUAGCUAGUUGGUGAGGUAACGGCUCCCCAAGGCCACGAUGCAUAGCCGACCUGGGAGGGUGAUAGGCCACAGUGGGACUGGGAAACGGCCCAGACUCCUACGGGGGGCAGCGGUAGGGAAUCUUCGGCAGUGGACGAAAGUCUGACCGAGCAACGCCGCGUGGGUAAAGAAGGUUUUCGGAUCGUAAACCUCUUUUGUUAGAGAAGCGGUAUCUAACCAGAAAGCCACGGCUAACUACGUGCCAGCAGCGGCGGUAAUU
This 402-nucleotide ribosomal RNA is filed under the name uncultured bacterium. Its description in RNAcentral is "partial 16S ribosomal RNA". It matches the Rfam family "Bacterial small subunit ribosomal RNA", at positions 28 to 525 of the family's 1533-position model. The record is from RNAcentral.